GAUGAACGCUGGCAGCAUGCUUAACACAUGCAAGUCUACUGGUAAAUCGGUUAGGGUGGCGGACGGGGGAGUAACGCGUACGGAACUUGCCUCCCAGAUAGGGACAACACUUGGAAAGGAAUGCUAAUACCAGAUAUCAUGUAUUAAAGGCAACCACGAAUUAUGACAGCUAUAUGGACUGGGAGAGAGCUUUGCGUCGCAUUAGCUAGUUGGAGAGGUAACGGCUGACCAAGGAGAGGAUGGGUAGCCGGCCUGGGAGGGUGCUCGGCCACAAGGGGACUGAGACACGGCCCUUACUCCUACGGGCGGCAGCAGUGGGGAAUAUUGGACAAUGGACCAAGAGUCUGAUCCAGCAAUUCUGUGUGCACGAUGAAGUUUUUCGGAAUGUAAAGUGCUUUCAGUUGGGAAGAAGAAAAUGACGGUACCAACAGAAGAAGUGACGGCUAACUACGUG
Molecule: ribosomal RNA, 454 nt
Filed under: uncultured bacterium
Lineage: Bacteria
Description: partial 16S ribosomal RNA
Rfam family: Bacterial small subunit ribosomal RNA
Source: RNAcentral